GCCUCAAUAGUGUAAUGGAUCAGCACGGUAGACCGGAUAUCUGAAAGUACGGGUUCGAGUCUCGCCUGAGGUA
RNAcentral lists this transfer RNA (73 nucleotides) under Dictyocaulus viviparus (bovine lungworm). It matches the Rfam family "tRNA". Rfam says of the family: Transfer RNA (tRNA) molecules are approximately 80 nucleotides in length. Lineage: Eukaryota; Metazoa; Nematoda; Chromadorea; Rhabditida; Metastrongylidae. The record is from Rfam by way of RNAcentral.